RNAcentral lists this ribosomal RNA (349 nucleotides) under uncultured bacterium. RNAcentral describes it as "bacterial SSU rRNA". It matches the Rfam family "Bacterial small subunit ribosomal RNA", at positions 1 to 334 of the family's 1533-position model. The record is from RNAcentral.
AGUAGACGUUCAGAGUUUGAUCCUGGCUCAGGACGAACGCUGGCGGCGUGCCUAAUACAUGCAAGCCGAACGCACUGACGGAGAACUUGUUCUCUUGACGUGAGUGGCGCACGGGUGAGUAACACGUGGGAAACCUACCCUUCAGCGGGGGAUAACCAUCGGAAACGAUGACUAAUACCGCAUAGACGACAGAACCGCCUGGUUCAAUCGGGAAAGACGGCUUCGGCUGUCACUGAAGGAUGGUCCCGCGCUGCAUUAGCUAGUUGGUAAGGUAACGGCUUACCAAGGCGAUGAUGCAUAGCCGACCUGAGAGGGUGAUCGGCCACAUUGGGACUGAGACACGGCCCAA